CCUACGAGUGGCAGCAGUGGGGAAUAUUGCUCAAUGGGGGAAACCCUGAUGCAGCGACGCCGCGUGAGUGAAGAAGGAUCUCGGUAUGUAAAACUCUUUUAGUAGGGCAGAAAAUGACGGUAUCUGACUAAGAAGCCCCGGCUAACUACGUGCCAGCAGCCGCGGUAAUACGUAGGGUGCAAGCGUUACCCGGAAUCACUGGGCGUAAAGGGCGCGUAGUCGGGAUAGCAAGUCAGGAGUGAAAUCCGAUGGCUUAACCAUAGUACUGCAUUGGAAACUGUUGGUCUUGAGUGUGGGAGAGGUAGGCGGAAUUCUUGGUGUAGCGGUGAAAUGCGUAGAUAUUAAGAGGAACAC
Molecule: ribosomal RNA, 354 nt
Filed under: uncultured bacterium
Lineage: Bacteria
Description: partial 16S ribosomal RNA
Rfam family: Bacterial small subunit ribosomal RNA
Source: RNAcentral